RNAcentral lists this long non-coding RNA (2267 nucleotides) under Pelobates cultripes (western spadefoot toad). The record is from RNAcentral. Lineage: Eukaryota; Metazoa; Chordata; Amphibia; Anura; Pelobatidae.
CAUAUAACUCAUACUCAGCAUCCCAUGUAAUAUUAGUCAUCUCACAAAACAAUAUCUUUGUAGAAACACAUAAUGGGUACCCAGCAGAUAUGCCAAUACAGAAAUCACAUUUAUGGGCACACAACUACACACUCUGUCUCCCUCCUAGGAAACACGGAUACACACAAUAUAAAAGCAAUCUUAAACUAACACCUCCAAAUCUCCAACUAUUCUUGGCCAAAACGCUAGUAUUCAACAACUAAUAAAACAGUUAUUUGCUAGGUUAUUUGGCUGUCAUUCUUAUCAGUAUCACUAGACUGUGACAAACUGAUUCACAUAUAAUUUAAAACAACACAGCAACAUAUAAAUUAAACCACUUUCAAGUUAAACUGCACACUUAUCACACAUUAUCACAAUCACCAUUUACACAGAAUAAACAGUUAACAGCUGUAUUCAGAACAUAUUAUUGGAAGGUAUACCAAUUUUAGUUUAGAUUUAUUUUAGGGAUUCUUAUGUAUACAUUUUCUUAAUUAACUUCAUUACUUUAAUCUACUAUAGUAUUGUAUUUAAAGAAAGGAUCCAUUUAUAUAGCGCGCUCAUAACUCAACUAUUUGUAUAAAACUUCCAUUAACUAAUCUGAGAUGAUGCUGCAUCAACUUAAAUCUUAUAGAAAUUGAACAAACAUCUGGACCAGAUUAAACAGACAUGGUUUCACCUGAAUCUUUCAGAACUCUCAGAGACUUAAAAAAUUUAUACUAUACCAUGUUUUAAAGGCAUGGCAAACCUUUAGACCGGUCAGUCUCCAAGAGCCCUUAGUAACACAGGUAAAAACCUUUGUCCAUGAUGUCUGAUUCAGGCUAUAUACCACAAUUUAAAAUAUCACAUAAUGUGAGACAUAGAAGACACAAGCAGUAGUUAUUACACUGGAUCAUUUAAAAGGAACCUGUUGCAAUAAAAAGGUUAAUUUACAGUGCAAAAUAAAGCAUGUGUUGGACCGCUGAAAAUGUAAAUGUUGCUCUGUUAUUUUCAAACAAAAAUUAUAUUUACAGUAUGGAUCCUUUGCAACAAACACACAGGGCAGGGAAGAUGUGCUGAUUGGUGUUUCUAUACAAUUAAUCCCAUAUGGGGAAUUAACUUUCAAAUACUAAUGAUGUGACUUUUUGUCUCAGUUAUAAAAUAUACUGAGCUCAUCAUGCAAACAAUGCAACACAUUUACACUAUCCCACUCUCAUAAUAAGUGUAGUGGGCUUAUAGUAUUUUUAAAGCAACAAUCAUACCAGGCACACAGUUCCCAUGUGAAAUAACUUACAAUAAAACAGAGUAAUAAACUUAUACUUCUAUGCGACAGAAAGAAUAAAGCAAAAAGAUUUAAGUAGGUCUAUCAGGUACAACCUGUGAGUCAUUUCUUUUCUAAUAUACAGUACUGCUAUCUUGCAAAAAGAUAAGUCCUGCGCUCACUCCCAUCACUACUGGGCAGCAGCAAGGACUACAGUACACAUCAGCCCCAAUAUAUGGUAAAAACCAAAGAAAAACAAGUUACCUGCGUUCUCUCCUUAAUCCCUAUGUAUUUUUAAAACCUCCAUUUGUUUAAAAGUACUGCUAUCUUAUAUAUACACAUAUACAUAUACACACACAUAUAUACAUACAUAUACACAUAUAUACAUACACACACAUAUACAUACAUAUAUUGGUCACUCAGGACAUGAACUCACAUUUCCCAUACUGCUGAUUCAGAGUGGGGACACUACUAACUUACCAAAGUGUGUCCCCAAUAUAGACAAUCAAUCACCCACAAAAAACACUUAAGACAAACAAAGGUGACCGGGAGAAAGAGAAGUUUGGGUUAUACUUAAAGAUCUACAAACCGUGCUACUCAGAACACCUAUAGACUUAAUAAACCGGAGACCUCUUAUGGUCUCAAAACCUGUAUCUACCUGAGAUACCCUGUAUCUAUCUUAGAUACUAACCUGGGUUACCAAAACCCUAUAUAUUUAGACCAAAUGUCUAAUAAACCGGAGACCUAUUUACAGUCUCAAUAUAACUAGAGUCCUUACACCUUUCCUAUCUACUGGAUACAGACUUACUGAACCAAACGGGGGUCAUAGACAAUCAGCGUCAAUAAGACACAAAAAGGCUACUCACCGCAAAUGGUUUUGCUGAUCCAACUUCUAUCCCACUUCUAGACACCAAGCUGAAAGGGUUAAUGUUGUAAUGGACUCUAAUCCCCUCGGUUCUCGAUCCCUCGGUCACCAUAAUCAACGUUGAUGGAGAAUCAUUUGUAAGCAAUA